GACGUAGGGCGCGAGCGUUGUCCGGAUUUAUUGGGCGUAAAGAGCGUGUAGGCGGCCAGGUAGGUCUGCUGUGAAAACUCGAGGCUCAACCUCGAGACGUCGGCGGAAACCAUCUGGCUAGAGUCCGGAAGAGGAGAGUGGAAUUCCUGGUGUAGCGGUGAAAUGCGCAGAUAUCAGGAGGAACACCGGUGGCGAAGGCGGGUCUCUGGGCCGAAACUGACGCUGAGGAGCGAAAGCGUGGGGAGCGAACAGG
Molecule: ribosomal RNA, 253 nt
Filed under: uncultured bacterium
Lineage: Bacteria
Description: partial 16S ribosomal RNA
Rfam family: Bacterial small subunit ribosomal RNA
Source: RNAcentral